GGUGAGAUGGGUGAGUGGCUGAAACCACCAGUUUGCUAAACUGACGUACGGGUAACCGUACCGCGGGUUCGAAUCCCGCUCUCACCGCAA
RNAcentral lists this transfer RNA (90 nucleotides) under Bacteroidales bacterium. Its description in RNAcentral is "tRNA-Ser". It matches the Rfam family "tRNA". Rfam says of the family: Transfer RNA (tRNA) molecules are approximately 80 nucleotides in length. Their secondary structure includes four short double-helical elements and three loops (D, anti-codon, and T loops). The record is from RNAcentral. Lineage: Bacteria; Pseudomonadati; Bacteroidota; Bacteroidia; Bacteroidales.